GUAGGUGAACCUGCGGAAGGAUCAUUAACACGUAUCCACGUAAAAACAAUCUGUGAACUUAUAAAAUUUCUCCCUUUUUUCAGAAGUGCUGUGAGUGAAAUUAGUGAUGGGUAUAUAGUCGUUAAAAAACUAUAUGCAAUUUUACUGAACUAGGGCUUCAUAGCCCAAAGCGCACUGAAAAAAGGCCUUUACUUUCUAUCACUACCAAACAAACAAUUUUCAACUUUAAAACAUUUUGACUGAUGUACGUAAUGUAAGAGAAAUCUGGCAUUCGUCUUUUAUCUAAACUAAGCACAACUCUUAGCAAUGGAUAUCUUGGUUCUC
This 324-nucleotide unclassified non-coding RNA is filed under the name rhizosphere metagenome. Its description in RNAcentral is "partial ribosomal RNA internal transcribed spacer region". The record is from RNAcentral.